Megalopta genalis is the source of this 3394-nucleotide non-coding RNA. NCBI's taxonomy places the organism in Eukaryota, Metazoa, Arthropoda, Insecta, Hymenoptera, Halictidae. The record is from RefSeq and is a predicted model, not a curated record.
UUUAUCCAUCUGAAUAAUUCUUUAUUCGAAUGAGAGGAAGAAUAGAAUAAAAAUUGUAAAAUCAUUCGAAAUCCAGUAAAUUCAGUGCUAAGUGUUCCGUCACCUGGACCUUGCAAUAAAAAUACUAAUAAUUGUCAAAACGUGUCGUAAGCUAACGAACAAUUGAAGCUUAGUGGACUCUUGAAAUAAAGAGGUCACCGGCAGCAAAGAAGAAGGCUUGGUAGCUCGCCGGAAGUAAUUACACCGUUAGCGGAUUAAAAAUAGAAGGAAGAAGGUCGAGUCCCGGAAAUAUUGCACCUGCAGGGACAAGGAUCGCCGCGGCGCCCGGUUUCCUCGAGGAAAUUCGAGAUAGGGAGGGGCUGCGGUCCGGCCCGACCACGUUCUUAACGUUUUUCGCCUAACCCGUUGGUCCUCUUGCUCCCCGUUGCCCUCGAAACGGCGAUGCCGCGGCAUCGCAUCGGGUAUCGAGUCGGGCAACGCGCCAAAUCACACCCCGGGGAAGAUAGAAAAAAGAAAAAAGACCGAGCGCAGAGAGGCCAGAGGGGGAUGAAAGCGUCGGGAAAAUCUCUUCUGCAUUCCUGGCCGUAUUUUUUGCGAGUCGCGCGGAGCCCAUCGAAAUUCGGCGGGGACACGCCUUCGAAUAUGAAAUCGCCGUGGCUGCCGGGUAAUGCGAAAUUCGGAGGCCUAAUCGAAUCGAAUCGAAUCGAAUCGAAUCGAAUUGUCAACGGAAGUGUUGCCGCAUUAGGCCGUCGGAAAAUCAAUUGUCGAUUCACAGUGGCUCGCGAGAAUGUUCCGCAAUCCUUUAAAACGUAAUAACUUUCUUCAAGUUGCACCAAAUCAUCUGCUUUUCGUCGAGAUGUCGAAGAGAUUAGUUUUCUUGGCAAUAUCUGAAAAUAUUUUCUGAGAAAUUGCGACUGAACAUUGCAACUGCUUUUGACGAGUAUACUCGUUGUGAAGAAAUGGCAGCAUUUUUUUGUUGUGACCAGUGUACUCGUCGAAAACAGCGAACAGAUUUAAAAGGAUGUAUGCUUUGAUAUUUUUUUAUUAAAUCAUAUGUUUUGUGAAAGUGUGCGUUUAAAGAAAAUAUGAAGAAAAUCGAGCAUGCGUCGAAGAUCGUGAAAAAUUGCAAUUUUCCCAAUCUUUAAUCGUCAUUUUCAGCAUGCAACUAUAUGACAGAGACAUAUAAAACGCAUUGUUUAAAUUUUCGUUCCAAGUUCAGGUAAAAAGGUUAAAAGACACGAGAUUUUUACAUGUUUCGUUGUCAUUCUAACUAAAUGCAAUUUUACAGAAAAGUUAAGGCAUCGUCUAGUGAACUAAUCUCCCUAACGUCUCAACAAAAUUUAAGCGAUCUGGUUAAAUUAAUGUUAUCCCUACUUAAAAGCUUAUAAAAGUUUACGAACGUUUUCGUUGAGCCACUGUAUGUACUCGAGCUCGAAACAUCGCAACGUAAACGUGCUGUAUAAAAGAAAAGACUCUCCGUCUCAUUUUUAGAGAGCGAUGAAGAUUUUUUUAACGGCCCGCAGACAAUAGAAAAUAAGACAACAACAAACGUUCCAAACAUUGGAAGGUAAACUUUUGGAUUAUAAAAUGGAUGUUCCAUCUGGCUGGAAAGUUCGAAGCCUUUGUACAACGAUAAGAGCAUCGUUGCCUCGAGUCUUGACUGAAUUGUGUCUAUUUUUCUCCGAAUAAUUGUCUAGAUCCCCUAAUUAGCAAAUUAUUAAAAAUUCUCGAGCUCCGUAACACUCGCAGAGCCAUCGAUGAAAAAUGUACGUGAAAGGCCAUCGGUGGGUGGUUGUGGACCCAGAUAUUUCUAUGUUAAUAUGUACGUAAAAGUGUUCAUCCACUUUUUCUUUUCUUAUAAAUAAUGAGAGAUGCAUCGUAACUACUAAAAUACACUAUUCUUUUUAUAAUUUACCUCGUAAAUAUACGUUAGAAAGAAGUUCACAAUCUAUACAUUCUACAAUUAUUGUUAUCUUCGAAUGUACAUCGCACACAAAUUGUAAAUUAAAAAAUUAGUCAUGCUAGCAGUCAUUUUGACGGAUUCGGUAAACCUAGCGUUAAGAUAGGAGUACAUUAAAAAAUAUGUCGAGCGAAAUUGGCAAGCGAAAUUUAUUGGCGAUCCUAAAAUAAGCAUACCUAGUUAUGUCUUUUCUUUUUUUUCAAAAACGUCCGCUGUUCGAGCGUUAAUUCAGAAUCGAAACUGCCUCGACGACGCCUCCGCCGAUGUUAAUCGGCGAUGUCUUCCAGAAUCGUUUGAAACAAUAGUUAAUUAUCAGAAGGGCAAAGAUCGGAGCCGAAGAAAAUGGUCCGCUACAUCGAACGUUCAUAGCGUUCGCAGCGAGCAGCCGUAGGACGUAAAAUUAUGCGAGGCUAUUUCUAAGGGUAUCAUCCAAUAGUCCGGAAUAACCGAUAAUCCGGCGCAGCACCGAAAUCCCGUUCCGCCGUCGAGCUUCCGCUGUGUAAUUGCCCGGCCGAAUCCACGAAAAUUUACGAACAGGUACUCAGCAUUAACGUCUCGCUGUAAUGUUACCAGUGUUUAAUAUCCCGCGAUUAAGUCUGCCUAUUAAAUUAAUCAUUGCGGCGCGUAAACGAUGACCCCGGCCGAAACCGGGCGGACGACAGCGCGCAGUGCAUUUUCGCUGAAACCUUCAAUCCUUCGCUUCCUUAACGAUCGUGCUAUCGGAACCGUCGAUCCACGAUCGUCGAACACAUGAAAAUACUUUCAUAGCAAUCCCGAAUUGAGCGGAUUGAAUCGGGUACGCAUGAUAUCAUCCCGCAAGCUUGCAGCAACACGGACGAGCCGUUGAACGGGCUGCAUAAUUUCCGCCGGUCGUUUUUACGGUGCGCCAAAUUCCGAAAUUCAUCCGCGAGAAUUGAAAUUCCGCGCGCGCGCGGACGUUUCGUGUUACAAACAACGACGACGAGCGCAUCGCGGCUUUCGAUAAAAAUGAGCUCACGGACUCCGCGAUUUCCCACGGUAACCCGAUAUUCGCAGAAAAUUGAUUUACCAACUUCCGGCACGAUAACAGCGUUUUCCAAGCGUGAAUUUUCUUUUCCCCGGUAAAAUAGCCUUUCACGGGGAAUUAAAUACUUAGCUGGGAAACCAGAGCGCGAUACGCGGCGAAAAGAAAAUAAAGACGUCGACCGUCCGCGACUCCGUUCGACAGGGAAUAUCCGAAAGAAAAUCAAGCGGACGUUCUCGCGCGGACGUGUCCGGCACGUCGCCGUCGCGCGCUGUGAUAAUAUUUUACUAUCGACGCGCGAACGUCGGGAAUUCGGGCCCGGGUUCGGUUCGGGCCGGGCCGGGCCGGGUCGCGCGACUCUGUAUUUUCUUGGAGCUCUUACGUUUCCAAUAAAUUUCGACGAGUCGCGGAGUCCUUCAGCCGUGAAGUGA